RNAcentral lists this unclassified non-coding RNA (345 nucleotides) under soil metagenome. RNAcentral describes it as "partial contains 5.8S ribosomal RNA, internal transcribed spacer 2, and large subunit ribosomal RNA". The stretch from base 1 to 120 matches the Rfam family "5.8S ribosomal RNA", at positions 35 to 154 of the family's 154-position model. The record is from RNAcentral.
GAUGAAGAACGCAGCGAAAUGCGAUAAGUAGUGUGAAUUGCAGAAUUCAGUGAAUCAUCGAGUCUUUGAACGCACAUUGCGCCCCCUGGUAUUCCGGGGGGCAUGCCUGUCCGAGCGUCAUUGCUGCCCUCAAGCACGGCUUGUGUGUUGGGCCUCCGUCCUCCUCCCGGGGGACGGGCCCGAAAGGCAGCGGCGGCACCGCGUCCGGUCCUCGAGCGUAUGGGGCUUCGUCACCCGCUCUUGUAGGCCCGGUCGGCGCUUGCCGACACAUCAAUCUUUUUUCCAGGUUGACCUCGGAUCAGGUAGGGAUACCCGCUGAACUUAAGCAUAUCAAUAAGCGGAGGA